CUGUACGCGCGCGCGCUGUGAUACCUGCGCCGCGCUCGCGCAGUGUGGGGGCUGGGUGUUGCCGCGUCCUGUAACAGUCCGAGCGGAGCAGGGGAACAGCCCCCGCCGGAGCGCGCGGCAAGCGGGGGGGGCUGAGUGGCCGGGCCGGUGAAGCCGGCGGUGCGAUGAACCCCUGGUCCUGCCCUAUCCGGUCACUGGCGGUUGGAAACUGGCCCCAGGUGCCUAGCGCCCGCCUGGCCCCGCUGUACCCGGCACGUAACGUUCUCCUAACGGGUCCAUCGUAAUUGAAACCCAUGGAGGAGGAACAGUGGAGAGCUCCUUGAUGGAUGUCAGGACAGAAGAAGCGGACCAGGAACCCUCUGGAUGGUGAUGUUCUUCAGGUGCAGGACAGGAAAUGUCUACUCCUGACAACUGGUGUUGGAAUCAGGUGCAACCAUGGAUGAAAACAGUCUAAUUGCAAGUGUGGAUAGAAUGAACAUAGUUUGAAGAUCUGUCUGAUGCAAGUUAAUAUACAGGAAAUGUUACUCACUAUUUGGGUCUAUAAAAAGGAGAGUUUCAAAAGUUGUUGCAAAGCAGACUGAAAGUACAGAUUUCCAGACUCAAGAUGCAUCCUGGAGCUGGUCACAAAAAAUUCUGCAGUGUGAUUAUGUUUCAUGCCUAUUCAUUAUCAAAUAUUACUCUAUACCUAAGAGGUUUAUACCAGACUCAACUAAUCAAAGAAAAAUUAUAGCAAAAGCAAGCAACCAGCUAUAAAGAAAAGUGUGUACAAUUCAAGUCAAUGCCAGCCAUUGAGAAGAGUUAAGUAAACAAGAUGGUCUUUGCGUGCCAUGAGGCAGGAACCACAAAACAUGUAUAAACCUAACGAUUGCCUGAACUAUUUUUUUAUAAACUAAAUGAGCAAGGAAUCAAUAAGCCCAAUCCUAGACUAGCAAGACAGUUUGGCCUUUCAAGCUAUUGUUCCCAAUUACUUUGUAUUAAUAAGACUUUAAAAAAAAAAAUCACCACGUGUGUUUGAUGCUGUCCUAACAUUAAUCACACCACAUAAAAGAAAACCAGAAAAAGAAUUUCACAGUACUAUAUGUGACAACUCCUGGGCAGAAAUUCAAGCCACCACAUUCUCCCCAUCAUGGAGAAAGUUUCAGUGGAAAGUUAUCAUAUUAUUUUCUACACUGCAGUAAUCACCAACUGAAACUCGAACAGCCAGAACCCCUGCUGAAUGUGGAUGUGGAAAGUAGGUAACCUAAAACAUUUCCUGGGACUGUCGCCCAUGCCCAAAAUUUUGGUCACAAAUACAUGAAGUUUACAGAAAAUUAAAAGUAAACUUGGAUGUGAACACAGUCCACUGAACUCUGGAAAAUACUCAACUAAAUCUGAAAACAAAGAUUUUUUCAGAUUAACAGGUGCAAGCAAAUGCAUCAAAAUGCUAAACUUACAAGAAACGAUAGCAAACAGAUCACAACCAAAGUCGUUUUAAGGAGCAUUAGAGUUUAGCCGGAGAGCUACUUCUAAUGUGCAACAAAGAAAUGAAACAAUAACCUUGAAUUAAGAUUACACUGCUUUCUGUUUAGAAAGAUGUCCCUUUCUCUAUAUCUUAAAUAUGUGUUUUUA
Chelonoidis abingdonii (Abingdon island giant tortoise) is the source of this 1608-nucleotide non-coding RNA. The record is from RefSeq and is a predicted model, not a curated record. Lineage: Eukaryota; Metazoa; Chordata; Testudines; Testudinidae.